Long non-coding RNA from Vidua chalybeata, 557 nucleotides. RefSeq lists it as uncharacterized. NCBI's taxonomy places the organism in Eukaryota, Metazoa, Chordata, Aves, Passeriformes, Viduidae. The transcript has 2 exons. The record is from RefSeq and is a predicted model, not a curated record.
UCUCUCCCCCUCCGCCUCCCAGUCGCCGCCUUCUAUUGGCCAGUUCAAGCCAGCACCGCCCUGUUGGCGCUCUCUGAUUGGUCGGGCGCUCGCUCGGAGCAGCGGGAUCCCCGGGGGGAAUCUUCUGGAAAGGCGUGACGUCACCGACGAGCCGUGCCUCAAGCGGUUCGUGUGCACGCCCCCUUCCCCGCCGCCCGCGGGUCCGGGGGCCCGGGGCGACACAGCGGCGCAUCCCGGUGUGGGUUAGACUGGUAACAAGGUGGAUCCUGGUUGGAGGAGCUGUCUGGACCCAGUGACUUGGAUUUUGUCCUGGGAGAUCUGCCUGUCUUAAGAAGAAAACCCACGUCUUGAUGCUGUUGAGUGCGGAACAUGGGGACAGCAUCCUGCCUGCACACCUGUCCAUAGACUGAGAAAGCAUCUGGUCGCACAGGUGCUGCAGCUCGUGGGUGGAGCUGAGCACUACUGUGAAUGGCUGAGGCUGUUAAGAUGUUUGUCCUUUUGUAACCUCUGUCUGCUUCCUUACGGAUGGAGUGUUUGAAAAGGGCGCUUUCAGUUCA